UUUUUAACUACUUUCCCAGUUGGUUCUCUUCUGCUUCUCUCCUCUCCUCUCCUCUCCUCUCCUGCUUCAUCAAACAAAAAGGAAGGAAAGAGAGAGAAAAAGUGGAAUUUGUAGUCAUCUUUCUUUCUUUGUUCUUGGGUUUCUGGUUCUGUAGGAGGGUGUGGUUGUUGUUCUUGUUGCUUUCUUUUUCUUACCUCUCUGUGGAGACAUUCCUUGCUGUCAAUGGCUCAAUUAUCGACUUGAUUGGACUCUAUUCUAAUUCCUCUGUCUCUUUGUCCCUGCUUUUCGCUUUGGGUUUUCUUUCUUUUGAUGUUGUGGUUGAUGGGUUUGCGACUUUGCUCCAGUGACUGACGACUGAGAAAAGAGUGAUUGGGUUCUUCUCUUCCGAGUUGAAAGCUUUUUCGGUUUUUGUGUUUUGAUUGUGUGAAGUUCAUCACUGAAAAAUGACAGUCGAGGAAAGGCCUUUGAGUGCUGGGAACGAUGAACCCAAAGAUCGUUUCCCUGUGGGUAUGCGUGUUCUUGCGGUCGACGACGAUCCCACAUGCUUGAGGUUGCUGGAUACUCUGCUUCGUCGAUGCCAGUAUCAUGUUACGACGACUAACCAAGCAGUCAUGGCGCUGAAGUUGUUGAGAGAGAAUAAAAACAAGUUCGACCUGGUUAUCAGUGAUGUUCAUAUGCCUGACAUGGACGGUUUCAAGCUUCUCGAGCUUGUCGGUCUUGAGAUGGACUUACCUGUCAUAAUGUUAUCGGCAAAUAGUGACACCAAAGUCGUGAUGAAGGGGAUUGCCCAUGGUGCAGUUGACUAUUUGCUAAAACCUGUUCGAAUUGAGGAGCUCAAGAAUAUAUGGCAACAUGUAAUGAGGAGAAGGAAGUUUGAUUCUAAAGACCAAAAUAAUUCCAACAAUCUAGAGAAGACUCAGGGAUCCGACCAAGGUGGACCUGCGAGCCCAACAGGAGGAAAUGCAGACAAGAAUGCUAAACAAAACAGGAAAAGGAAGGACCAAGAUGAAGAUGAGGACGAGGACUAUGAGGAGAGUGGACAUGAGAAUGAUGACCCAGACACGUCAACUCAGAAGAAGCCUCGAGUUGUGUGGUCUGUUGAACUGCACCGCAAGUUUGUAGCAGCAGUUAAUCAAUUGGGAAUUGACAAGGCUGUACCUAAGAGGAUUCUAGACCUGAUGAAUGUAGAAAGGCUUACUAGAGAGAAUGUGGCGAGCCACCUUCAGAAAUACAGACUUUACCUAAAAAGGAUUAGUUGUGUGGCAAGUCAGCAAGCUAAUAUGGUUGCUGCUUUAGGUGGAAAAGAUCCCUCCUAUCUGCGAAUGGGUUCACUGGAUGGCUUUGGCGAUUUUCAUGCCUUAAAUGGAUCAGGACAGCUUCCAAAUGCUACUCUUACAUCUCUCCCACCUGCUGGAAUGCUUGGUCGGUUGAAUACCCCUGCUGGUUUGGGCAUUCGUGGCCUUGCUUCAUCUGGAAUGAUUCAACUUGGCCGAGCCCAAAACUCUAGCAACCCCAAUAAUGAUCUGGGGAAGCUCCGGCCUGCUGUCUUAUCUGGAAAUCGAAAUGGAAAUUUACUGCAAGGGAUGCCAACAUCGUUGGAACUUGAUCAACUACAACAGAACAAGUGCAUUUCCCGAAUUGGAGAGUUCUCUGGCUGCAAUGAACAAAAUGUUUUUCAAGUAGCCAGUGGCUUCUCCGAAACGGCAGUGACUAUUGGUAGUUCAAGCAACUCUUUUCUUGCUGCCCCAAACAAUCCAUUGAUGUUACAAGGACACCCACAACAAGCACAAAAUAGAGGAUUUGGAAAUCAAUCUUCUGUUAGUGUGGAUCCACGGAAUUCAGAACCUUUUGACAUUGGCGGUGGUGUAUCUUCUCAUGUGCCUGAUCAGAAUAGAUGUAAUGAUAACUGGCAAAGUGCUGUGACAAUAACCGGAUUUUCAUCAAAUUCUUUGCCAUCGAGCACCCCUUUUAAUCAUACUGAUUUGCCUCCUUGUAACUUGAUGGACACUAUUUCUCCAAUGGGCUCACACAUUGGGAACAACCCACUUGAUAUUUCUUCCACAAGCGUAGUACCAGCACCACUUCAGGAUUCAAGAAGAGAUAUGCAAUGCCAAGCAAGCAUCAUGCUUGGUAACAAUGUUCAGCAUGAUAGUCCAAAAUAUUCGAACUUUGGAGGCUUGGGCAAUAAUUUAGACCAGAGUUUGAAUGUUCCAAGGCAAAGAUGGGAAGACCAUAAACAGGAUUACUCCCACAACUCAAAUCUUCUCUUUAGUUCUAUCAACUCUUCUCUGCCUACCCAUGGUGUUGUAAGUCAAUUAACCCAGAGUUUGGGCCACAACAAUGCAGUCUGCAACCAAAAUGUGGAUACAACUCUGCUUGCCCAAUCAAAUGCUGGUGCAUAUUUGAUGCAGCAUAACAUGGUUGAAAAAUCAAAUAAUGACACAUCAUUAAGGUUGAAGGAAGAGUACUCAAUGGAGCAAACUAAGUCACACGGUGGGUUUUCUGAUAGUUGCGGCUCUUUAGAAGACCUGAUGGCUGCAAUGAUUAAACAGGUAGGGAGGGAAGUAGGUAACAGCCCGGAGACUUGAACUCGAGACCUCCUGAUAACAGCUAUAUAUUAAUUACUUUGCUCCUGAAUUAUUUAUGGACAGUGAAUAUGAUUUGAAGGUUGUCUCCGAUGCAGGAACUGUCAAAUGGCUGCCACCUCCUUACAGAACAACAGGAAACGAAGUUUAUGGAUGGAGGAGACAUUGGAUGUGAAGUUUACCCUCUUAGAACUUGUAUGUGAAACUUGGAGAACUGCUCCUUUUAGCAAGAAGGGAUCGCAACAAUAUAGAUGCGUUCCUUGGGGAGUUUGUAUCAUCAUGUAGUGUUCUCUAUUAUGUAUUUCUGUAUGUUGAUAAAUUUUAUUCCUUUAGUUCCAAAUGGGAUUUACUUUCCUGUUCCUCUAUCCUGUCCAUGCCCCCUGUUCUCUUUUCUGACAUGAACAUUGGCAUGUGAAUCCCCUCAACCAUCCAAGGUUCGAUGAUUCCAUUCAUCAUAAACCAUGUACAAAGUUAAUGUCUAUAAAGUGGCUAAUGCUUCCAACUAA
This is an RNA transcript of Macadamia integrifolia, 3091 nucleotides long. It is a transcript of the gene named two-component response regulator ORR22-like, with no coding region annotated. The transcript has 8 exons. NCBI's taxonomy places the organism in Eukaryota, Viridiplantae, Streptophyta, Magnoliopsida, Proteales, Proteaceae. The record is from RefSeq and is a predicted model, not a curated record.